AACGAACGCUGGCGGCAGGCCUAACACAUGCAAGUCGAACGCUCCGCAAGGGAGUGGCGCACGGGUGAGUAACACGUGGGAACCUACCUUCUGGUACGGAACAACCAAGGGAAACUUUGGCUAAGACCGUAUACGACCUCCGGGUGAAAGAUUGAUCGCCGGAAGAGGGGCCCGCGUCCGAUUAGGUAGUUGGUGAGGUAACGGCUCACCAAGCCUUCGAUCGGUAGCUGGUCUGAGAGGAUGACCAGCCACACUGGGACUGAGACACGGCCCAGACUCCUACGGGAGGCAGCAGUGGGGAAUAUUGGACAAUGGGCGCAAGCCUGAUCCAGCCAUGCC
This 339-nucleotide ribosomal RNA is filed under the name uncultured bacterium. RNAcentral describes it as "bacterial SSU rRNA". It matches the Rfam family "Bacterial small subunit ribosomal RNA", at positions 29 to 398 of the family's 1533-position model. The record is from RNAcentral.